RNAcentral lists this ribosomal RNA (270 nucleotides) under uncultured archaeon. RNAcentral describes it as "partial 16S ribosomal RNA". It matches the Rfam family "Archaeal small subunit ribosomal RNA", at positions 477 to 747 of the family's 1478-position model. The record is from RNAcentral.
CAGCACCUCAAGUGGUCAGGAUGAUUAUUGGGCCUAAAGCAUCCGUAGCCGGCGCUGUAAGUUUUCGGUUAAAUCUGUACGCUCAACGUACAGGCUGCCGGGAAUACUGCAGCGCUAGGGAGUGGGAGAGGUAGACGGUACUCGGUAGGAAGGGGUAAAAUCCUUUGAUCUAUUGAUGACCACAUGUGGCGAAGGCGGUCUACCAGAACACGUCCGACGGUGAGGGAUGAAAGCUGGGGGAGCAAACCGGAUUAGAUACCCGUGUAGUCC